Molecule: non-coding RNA, 1002 nt
Organism: Monodelphis domestica (gray short-tailed opossum)
Lineage: Eukaryota; Metazoa; Chordata; Mammalia; Didelphimorphia; Didelphidae
Source: RefSeq, a predicted model, not a curated record
GAAAGUCUCAGCAGUCAAAGAAGGGAGUCGGGGCUGCGCCUGCGCACUGCGGCCGCUACCCACCCCCUUCCUUACCAGGAAAAGUCCAAGAACCACGACUGUGAGCCGCCCAGGAGCAAGAAAGUGCCCAGAGGACUCAUUCUAAACCCCUGGAGCCCUAACAAUCCCACCUCCCAGCCAUUGCCCAGGGAGCCACCCCUCAGACUAGACUCCCCUACAAUUGGAGAUUGAGUCUACUGGAAAAGAAGCCUGUACCCCGACACUGCAGCCAGAUGGGAAGGACUUCACCAAGUCUCAGAAGGCUCCAAACAUGGCCAAGUGCCCUCUUUCCUUUUCUUACACUGUCCAUCUAAUUUUCCUCAGCACAUUGUUAUAUUUAAAAUUAAUAUAUCUACUAGUUAUUAUUUUAUAAAGUUUAUUAAUAGAAAUGAUAGAUAAGAUUUAAAAUCUGUUCCUUAUUCUAAGUCUUAACCACGUGUCCUAACCUGCAAUAAUCUUUCUCUCUCCCCCACCUGUCUGCUCCAGCCCCAAGUCCCAAAGACUCAAGUUGGCUCUGCCCGCUUUCUUUUACUGACAUUCAUGGACUUUCAUGUUACUCUGGUUUGUGAAGAAUGUGGAUCAACCAGUUGGCCCUCCAGGAGCGGGAGGGAAUGAACUUCCCUCGACACAUGUUCUGAGGCCACCUAGAAAAUGUAGCCUUCCACUUUUUUCUUUGGGGACUGUCUCACCCCAAGGUUUCUUUUGGCACCCCUGGAAGCGAGGUCCCUUCAUAAGGUGGGCAAACACGUCAAUGAUAAUCUACAACUGAAAGCCAAUCCUGCUUCCUAGCUGUAGCCAGCUGUGACAUUCCUGACCACCCAGAACUCCCCCUUUGCCACCUCUCUGGAAAGAGGGCUCUUCCUGGCCCUUCACAGACAAGCCAGCUUAGCUGAGGAGGCCAGUGUGGCCCUCUGGACUAACAGCUCUCCCAGUCACUGAUAAUAAAUUGUCUUGCUCAGAGAA